Hemicordylus capensis (graceful crag lizard) is the source of this 654-nucleotide long non-coding RNA. RefSeq lists it as uncharacterized. The transcript has 2 exons. NCBI's taxonomy places the organism in Eukaryota, Metazoa, Chordata, Lepidosauria, Squamata, Cordylidae. The record is from RefSeq and is a predicted model, not a curated record.
UGGCUGUAGCACUCACUGGGUUUUCGUGACCUCUCUCCACUUUCUACACUGGGAGAUCAAGUUCGCCAAGCUGUGUACUUAGUAGAGUGAAGGCAAAUAUUGAAAGAGCACUCACAGCAGGGUCUUCACAUGCAAGGUGAGCCCGGCACUGCUCCCUGAAUGACAAAUCUGCAGACCAGGAACAUGAACGCUGGAUCAGCCACUAGUUGUGCCCCUUCCCUUGCAAGUCAGAUCCUCCCCAUUGAAAUGAAACCGACAGAACUAUUUUUAAAGAGUGUGCCUCUGAAAAGAAGCAUCUUCUGCAAUGAACCUUCGCCAUUGUCAAAAUGGUCAAUUUCUAUGCAUCCUCCCUUUCUUCAAGGGCUGAUUCACACAUCACAUCCCCCACCCCCGCCCAGCAAACAGAUGUGGGAGAAUCACUUGUGUGGCAAAACAAACCCUUGUGACAACUUAUAUGUGUUAUUGUUCCUGCUUGAAGAUCUCUUUGUAGGAAAAAUGCAUGAGUGAAGUGGCCAAAACGUAACAUAUUCUGUGAAACAAGUCUUUUAAAAACAUGAAAUUCCAGAGCAAAUUACAUACUUAUGUUCAUGUUUAUAUACUGCUAUCUCUCUCUUCAAAUGUGUUUUCCCUUUUCAAUAAAUGCACUUUAAACUA